AGUGAACGCUGGCGGUGGGCCUAACACAUGCAAGUCGAACGGCAGCACAGUAAGAGCUUGCUCUUACGGGUGGCGAGUGGCGGACGGGUGAGGAAUACAUCGGAAUCUACUUUUUCGUGGGGGAUAACGUAGGGAAACUUACGCUAAUACCGCAUACGACCUACGGGUGAAAGCAGGGGAUCUUCGUACCUUGCGCGAUUGAAUGCGCCGAUGUCGGAUUAGCUAGUUGGCGGGGUAAAGGCCCACCAAGGCGACGAUCCGUAGCUGGUCUGAGAGGAUGAUCAGCCACACUGGAACUGAGACACGGUCCAGACUCCUACGGGAGGCAGCAGUGGGGAAUAUUGGACAAUGGGCGCAAGCCUGAUCCAGCCAUACCGCGUGUGUGAAGAAGGCCUUCGGGUUGUAAAGCCCUUUUGUUGGGAAAGAAAAGCAGCAGGUUAAUACCCCGCUGUUCUGACGGUACCCAAAGAAUAAGCACCGGCUAACUUCGUG
This 492-nucleotide ribosomal RNA is filed under the name uncultured bacterium. RNAcentral's name for it is "partial 16S ribosomal RNA". It matches the Rfam family "Bacterial small subunit ribosomal RNA", at positions 29 to 507 of the family's 1533-position model. The record is from RNAcentral.